UCAAACCAUGAGCGCGCUGUUAUCGCGCCUCUCAGCUGAUCUCAGCUGAUCGAAGAAGUUAUUUUCACAUUUGCCAGGUCUACCGUUUUUACGGUGGGUCUCCCGUUUUCUUGAGAACUACUGCUCUACCGCUAAGCCAUCAGAACCUACUGCUAAACGUUACGUUAAACACUUUAAAUAUAACUAUUAUAUAUUACACUAUUUGUCAACAAAUCAGCUACAUUGCACUGCGAUUGGCGAUUGGAUUACAUGUUUUUUUUUUCGUUUUUCGUUUCCUAAAGCGCGCCUCGGAGCUACGCUAACACCUUCUUGGCUGAAGACCACUUAAAAAGUUCGAAACGUUCAAAUUUACAAACAUUCAAUUAUUUCCCGUUUUGUUUUUAAAUCUAUUCUAUAACUGUCUAUCUAAUCUAUGUUUCUUAUGUCUAUUCUACUGCUUUCGUAGUACUUGACCUGGCAACACUGGUCAUGUUGUGAAAAUUUUAACCAUAUUUUUCCAAUAACAAAACAAAAUGGUUACUAAGUGAUUCUAAUUUGCUUCACAGGAAUUCACAAUGCACAGAUGUUUCGUCGGCUUUUAUAUUUGGUGCUUUUUACAACCUUGUCUGUUUCAUGAUCGGUUUUCCAACAGCGGUAAGAAAUAUUUCUUCGAUCGAUCAUAUUUGAAGGUCAUACUCCGGAGUCAUAGAUAAAGACAAGCCCGGAGUAUAGAUUAUGAGUGAAGUAUUUUAGUGCUUAUUUUAACAAAUAUCUUAAAUGGAACAUAUGUGUGGAUGUUAUUGUUAAUUAGGCAAAAAGGCACUUUAUAUUUUAAGGUUUUAGAUGCAUCUCAUUUAGAUUUCAAAGCAGCCCUCUUGAAACCAGUUAACCAAAAAACGCUCAACCAAUAAGCUGAAUAUAGUUUAAUGCGGAGGCCUUUAUAUUUGUCUGCUUUACACGAGAUCCACCCCUAGAGCAGCAUUCUUGGCUGCGGCUACUACCUAUGGUGGAGUUGGAGCAGAAAAGGAAAGUUGCAGCUGUAAAAACUAAAUCUUUAUCUAUGGAUAUUAAAAUUUGAAGAUGAAAAUCCGGUUUGCUGAAA
Long non-coding RNA from Dendroctonus ponderosae (mountain pine beetle), 1081 nucleotides. RefSeq lists it as uncharacterized. Lineage: Eukaryota; Metazoa; Arthropoda; Insecta; Coleoptera; Curculionidae. The transcript is spliced from 2 exons. The record is from RefSeq and is a predicted model, not a curated record.